This is a long non-coding RNA of Gallus gallus (chicken), 1136 nucleotides long. RefSeq lists it as uncharacterized. Lineage: Eukaryota; Metazoa; Chordata; Aves; Galliformes; Phasianidae. The record is from RefSeq and is a predicted model, not a curated record. The transcript is spliced from 3 exons.
AUAAAAACAAACAAAAAAUCCACCACCCUGCCAGUCAAAACAGAAAUGGUUAAGUGCAAUCAGCUAUAUUAAGACAAACAUCACUAGAUUGAUGAUCAACACAAUGACUAGCAUGAAUCAACAGCAGCAUGACGCUAUCACAGCUUACUGUCAGAUCAAAAGUCUAUUACAGUAAUUUUUUUAUAAAGUUUCAAGUUAUGUUAAAAAUGUGAAAAGUAGAGUUAAUAACACAGAUGAUUUAUAUAUACUGCACCUAUACCAUAAUUUUUUUUCUUUAUUGCCAACAACUUGGAAUCACCUAUCAAACUAUACAGCUCCUCCCCAGCAGAAACAUUUAUACAGUAUUUAAGUCUUUUGACUAUUAAAAAGAAGAACACGUUGGCCUGUCUUGUCCUCAUGUAUAAAUAGUCAGUUUAAUAAGGUGCAUCAUCUAAUGACUCUGAGAAAUUGCUCACAACAGGAAUUCUCCAUUACAGAACCACCAGCUGCAUUAGCUACUACCCGGUCCCGUAGUGAAGAAAAAGUGAAGGACAGCCUGAGCUACUUCCCAACUAGCGUGGGCUGAGCAAGGCACUGAGUCUGUGGAUCUCAUCCCGACACGUGGAAGAUUUACUAGGCCAAAUGCAAGUCAGGUUUGAGUAAGUCUUUAACAGUACAAAUGCUGGUCCAGCAACAAGGACAGAAUCCAAGAGCCUAAGUUGUUCAAGCCCACCAACUACUGAUUAAUCCUUACACACUGGGUUUCAGGUUUGACUACUCGCAUUCUCUUUCUCUGGGAAUACAGUUCUGUCAAGAGGAGGAGUAUUACAAGAUGGUCAUCUUUAGGAAAGGGAGAUAUGAGGACUACAAGUACUAAAACUGUUAUGAAGAUGGAAGCACAACAGGGACCAGACUAACUAUAACAUAUCACCUAGGGCAGAGAGGAACAGAAGGAGGAAACAAUUACAGUCAAUUCUAUUUUCACUAUUACUUAUUAAAGAUAACAGGCUUUAAAAAAAAAAAAAAAAAGAAAGAAAACAUUUGUUUUUAAAAGUGAUGUUUCCCUUAAAGUUGACGCAAAAGAAAAAACAAAAAACAAAAAUUACUCAUCUGGAAUCUGAUGAUCACACAGUUAAUUUAAUGAGGUCCUUAAACUU